This 504-nucleotide ribosomal RNA is filed under the name Triticum aestivum (bread wheat). Its description in RNAcentral is "partial small subunit ribosomal RNA". Lineage: Eukaryota; Viridiplantae; Streptophyta; Magnoliopsida; Poales; Poaceae. The record is from RNAcentral.
AUGGCGGCCAUACUUGAAUCUUUGCUUGGAUCAUGUGCCAGUAAAUUGCAAAAUAUCAUUACAGAUGAGGCCAUACUAAUCCUUGGGGUGGAAGAAGAUCUCAGAGAAGUCCUGCAGCGAGUAGAACUAAUACAAUGUUGCAGAUAUGAUGCUGAGAAAAGGAGGACAAAAGAGCUAGCAGUAAACAAUUGGCUCGGCCAACUGAGAGAUGUUAUAUAUGAUGUUGAUGAAAUCCUGGACGUGGCUAGGUGUAAAGGAAGCAAGCUCCUGCCUGAUGAUCCUUCAUCAUCAUCAAGCAAUGCGGCUGCAUGUAAAGGCCUCUCAGUUUCCUCUUGCUUUUGUAACAUCUGGUCACGCCGUGAUGUUGCUGUUUGGAUUAGAAGCCUCAAUAAAAAAAAUAGAAUACAUUUUAAAGGACACGGUAAUCUUAACACUCAACACUGGUAUGCAGCCUACCAAAAAUGGUCCAACAUCCAAACUGAUAAGAAGCUGCAACCUUGUUGA